RNAcentral lists this microRNA (24 nucleotides) under Gossypium raimondii (Peruvian cotton). RNAcentral's name for it is "gra-miR7503b". Lineage: Eukaryota; Viridiplantae; Streptophyta; Magnoliopsida; Malvales; Malvaceae. The record is from miRBase by way of RNAcentral.
AACCGAUGGUUGAACAUGUUAGAC